Amphimedon queenslandica is the source of this 184-nucleotide long non-coding RNA. RefSeq lists it as uncharacterized. The transcript is spliced from 3 exons. The record is from RefSeq and is a predicted model, not a curated record. Lineage: Eukaryota; Metazoa; Porifera; Demospongiae; Haplosclerida; Niphatidae.
CAUAGGAACACCAAAAGACAAGGAUUCUUUUGGGGAUGUAUUUGAAGAUGAUAAUUUUGGAGACAUAAUUAUUGACCAUCCCUUGAUUUUGAAAAUUAUUGAAACGAAACAAUUUAAGAGAUUAACUGAUAUCAAAAAAUUAGGCUACACACAUCACACAUUAAGAGCAACAUACUCAAGACAU